GGGGAAUCUUCCGCAAUGGACGAAAGUCUGACGGAGCAACGCCGCGUGAACGAUGACGGCCUUCGGGUUGUAAAGUUCUGUUAUACGGGACGAAUGGCGUAGCGGUCAAUACCCGUUACGAGUGACGGUACCGUAAGAGAAAGCCACGGCUAACUACGUGCCAGCAGCCGCGGUAAUACGUAGGUGGCAAGCGUUGUCCGGAAUUAUUGGGCGUAAAGGGCGCGCAGGCGGCGUCGUAAGUCGGUCUUAAAAGUGCGGGGCUUAACCCCGUGAGGGGACCGAAACUGCGAUGCUAGAGUAUCGGAGAGGAAAGCGGAAUUCCUAGUGUAGCGGUGAAAUGCUUAGAUAUGACGAAGAACUCCGAUUGCGAAGGCAGCUGACGGGAGUGUUACUGACGCUGAAGCUCGAAAGUGCGGGUAUCGAACA
This 426-nucleotide ribosomal RNA is filed under the name uncultured Megasphaera sp. RNAcentral's name for it is "bacterial SSU rRNA". It matches the Rfam family "Bacterial small subunit ribosomal RNA", at positions 356 to 774 of the family's 1533-position model. Lineage: Bacteria; Bacillati; Bacillota; Negativicutes; Veillonellales; Veillonellaceae. The record is from RNAcentral.